CCGCGUGUGUGAAGAAGGCCUUCGGGUUGUAAAGCACUUUCAGUUGUGAGGAAAAGUUAGUAGUUAAUACCUGCUAGCCGUGACGUUAACAACAGAAGAAGCACCGGCUAACUCCGUGCCAGCAGCCGCGGUAAUACGGAGGGUGCGAGCGUUAAUCGGAAUUACUGGGCGUAAAGCGCACGCAGGCGGUUUGUUAAGCUAGAUGUGAAAGCCCCGGGCUCAACCUGGGAUGGUCAUUUAGAACUGGCAGACUAGAGUCUUGGAGAGGGGAGUGGAAUUCCAGGUGUAGCGGUGAAAUGCGUAGAUAUCUGGAGGAACAUCAGUGGCGAAGGCGACUCCCUGGCCAAAGACUGACGCUCAUGUGCGAAAGUGUGGGUAGCGAACAGGAUUAGAUACCCUGGUAGUCCACACCGUAAACGCUGUCUACUAGCUGUUUGUGACUUUAAGUCGUGAGUAGCGAACCUAACGCGCUAAGUAGACCGCCUGGGGAGUACGGCCGCAAGGUUAAA
This 509-nucleotide ribosomal RNA is filed under the name Alteromonas sp. Its description in RNAcentral is "bacterial SSU rRNA". It matches the Rfam family "Bacterial small subunit ribosomal RNA", at positions 397 to 898 of the family's 1533-position model. Lineage: Bacteria; Pseudomonadati; Pseudomonadota; Gammaproteobacteria; Alteromonadales; Alteromonadaceae. The record is from RNAcentral.